GGCUUUCCUCUUGGAUUGCUUUAACGGCACACCAAAGGACUCUCUCUCCACCGCCGCCAUCGUUUGUGAAGGGAUGGAAGAAGCCAACAGCUCGCUUUCUGUUCCUUCUGCCAUUGAUUAUCUGGGAAGUGAAGGUCAAGAUUAAGGUUAAUAUAGCAGUGAAGAGAGGGAUGAUGAGAAGGUAAAUCCCGUUAUCCAUUAUAUCAACGUGGAGAAGGAGAUCAAUUAGAUGACCAUGAUGAUGAUGAUGAUGUGGAGAAGAAC
This 264-nucleotide unclassified non-coding RNA is filed under the name Hevea brasiliensis (rubber tree). Lineage: Eukaryota; Viridiplantae; Streptophyta; Magnoliopsida; Malpighiales; Euphorbiaceae. The record is from RNAcentral.